Molecule: long non-coding RNA, 522 nt
Organism: Mauremys reevesii (Reeves's turtle)
Lineage: Eukaryota; Metazoa; Chordata; Testudines; Geoemydidae
Exons: 3
Source: RefSeq, a predicted model, not a curated record
GAGGGGGACCUCAUGCGGCAGCGUGCUGUGAGUGAAGAGUUGCACUGUGAAUGGAUCGACGGGCAGCGAUCGAUCCAGUGGGGGUCUAGUGUAGAUGCGAUAAAUUGACCACUAAGCGCUCUCUUUUCAACUCCGGUAUUCUACUGGAGUGAGAGUCGCAGGCGGAGUCAACGGGGGAGCAUCAGCUGUUGGCUCACCACAGUAAAGACACCGCGAUCGGAAAAUGGAGCGGAGAGCAUACGUAAUGCAGUCUUUGAUAGAGCCAGGAAGAGAACAGCCCUGAUUGCCAGUAACGUGCUUCGACCACAAAGCCAUGUUUCCUGUGUUAAUAACAUGAGAUCUCAUUAUCUAACUCUUUUAAAGCUUAGCUGAGAGCACAGAGUUUUGGAUUUUUUUGUGAGAUUUAUGAGAUGUAUGCAUUAGUGAAGUAAAAAUUAGCAAGUUUCUCCUGUAGUUUAAAAAAACACAUUAUAAUAAAAAGAAAGUCUGAGACAAACCAUGGUAUGCAUCAUGUUGAAGGAA